UUUGGUCUCAGUUCGCUGGAGACGGUACAGCUUGUACUGGCUUCUGAUCAUUCAUUUGAAACUGGCGAAUUGAUUCCUCUGACUGGAGGCAAAGAAGCGAGACUGGAAUUGAACGCUGACUGGAGGCCCUGGGUUGAGUUCUCUCUUUUACAGCUGCAACCUAGAGAGCAAUAGUUGUACGGUGACUGGUUCGGAGAAGACAGAAGUUGACUGGACUUCCCCGUCCCUGCUUGCCUGCCUUUCUGAGGAUGAGUCAGCAGCUGUACAUUUCAAGGAGGACAAGCUGGAGGGCAGGUGCCUCUGCAGAGUCGAUAGCAUUAGAGGACAGGAUGGAAGAAUAUAGGAUAUAAGGUUGCCAACGUUUGUUGCUUGAUCCUGGGCCCAAGGUCCAAGCAAGGGGAAAGGGAGAAUGAUCAAUGGCUAAGUCAGAGCCCCCGAAGUGGCUAACCAGGACACAAAGAACAGGAGUCCAGGUGGGUCCCUCUGAAGAGUGCAUUCCAAAAGUGGAGCACUACAGCUGAAAGGUCCGUUCGGCAAUCAUCACCCAUCUCAUCUUCAAAAGUGAGGGCACCCAGAGAAGGACUUGCUAUGAAAAUCUUAACGUACAUGCAAGAUCAUGUGGAAGAUUAUCUUUCUGUACCCAGGGCCCAAACCAUGUAAGGAUAACGCAUAUGAAGUAUUUAGGAAAGACGUAAUGUAAAAACAAUGAUGAUGAUGGUCUGCAUAGCAAAUGACUCAUGGUACACAGCAACGUUAAAAAAACCUUAUCCUUGUGAACUUAAGUUGCAUAAAAGGGGUGCAACAUAUCUUGCAAACUGAGGCCAUACCGGUUUGUGUUAUGAUGACGAGCAGUGGCCGAAGAUAUUUUGUUGCCUGAGCCAAAGGACAAUAUGAUACAUCCCAGCCUCCAUCUAAGAAGGGUACCUUGCAUUCUCAGACCAUUUUGUCAGCAGCAGUAGCAGCAGAAGCAGCAACAACAACAGCACAUGAGAACUCUCAGACUAAGCCUUCAAGUGGGCCAUGGCAGCUAGUGGUUAUUAGCUCAUCUCGGGGAGAGGGGGAGAGGGGAAGGAACUGGAAGAGACACGCCCUAAUGAGGCAGGGAGGGAAAAUUGAACAGCAUGUCCCAGUGGAGUGAGGAUGGUGGCAGUGGGUGGCAAGGACGCCUGUGGGAUGGUGCCAUUAGUAACUGAGAACCAGCACUUGCCACCUCACGCAUGCCUCCCAACAUCUGCGCUUGAGGUGACCACCUCACCCUGCCUCAUGAAGGGGGUCACCCAAAUGGUGACUAGUAAAAUGCUGUGUAGGUAAGCUCAGAGGAAUUUGCCAGUAAGUCAGGAAUGGGGUACUAUAUACUGUAGUUAAUUAAAUUAAAUUUUGUUGUUGUU
Long non-coding RNA from Hemicordylus capensis (graceful crag lizard), 1388 nucleotides. RefSeq lists it as uncharacterized. The record is from RefSeq and is a predicted model, not a curated record. The transcript has 4 exons. Lineage: Eukaryota; Metazoa; Chordata; Lepidosauria; Squamata; Cordylidae.